Orcinus orca (killer whale) is the source of this 545-nucleotide long non-coding RNA. RefSeq lists it as uncharacterized. Lineage: Eukaryota; Metazoa; Chordata; Mammalia; Artiodactyla; Delphinidae. The record is from RefSeq and is a predicted model, not a curated record. The transcript has 2 exons.
CUCCCCAUAUCCUCAAGUCCAUUCUCUAGUAGGUCUGUGUCUUUAUUCCUGUCUUACCCCUAGGUUCUUCAUGACAUUUUUUUUUUUAGAUUCCAUAUAUAUGUGUUAGCAUACGGUAUUUGUCUUUCUCUUUCUGACUUACUUCACUCUGUAUGACAGACUCUAGGUCCAUCCACCUCACUACAAAUAACUCAAUUUCGUUCCUUUUUAUGGCUGAGUCAUAUUCCAUUGUGUAUAUGCGCCACAUCUUCUGUAUCCAUGCAUCCGAUGAGGGACACUUGGGUUAACAGUGAGGUGCCACAGGGCUCAGCCCUCGACCCUCUGCUCUUCUCUGUACUCGCUCCCAUGGUGACUAAUCCUAUCUCAGGGCUGUAAAUACCAUCUUACAUGCUGAUGACUCUCAGUUUUAUCUCUGGCCACAUCUCUCCCCUGAACCCGCAUAUCCGGCUGCCUAUUCUAUGUAUCUGCUGACUUCUCCAAUGUAGUGUGUUCACUGUUAAGUGACCUCCCAAUCCUGUUUCCCAUUAAAGUUAAUGACACGUCAA